Molecule: ribosomal RNA, 253 nt
Filed under: uncultured bacterium
Lineage: Bacteria
Description: partial 16S ribosomal RNA
Rfam family: Bacterial small subunit ribosomal RNA
Source: RNAcentral
UACGGAGGGGGCAAGCGUUAAUCGGAAUUACUGGGCGUAAAGCGCACGCAGGCGGCUUGUUAAGUCAGAUGUGAAAUCCCCGCGCUUAACGUGGGAACUGCAUUUGAAACUGGCAAGCUAGAGUCUUGUAGAGGGGGGUAGAAUUCCAGGUGUAGCGGUGAAAUGCGUAGAGAUCUGGAGGAAUACCGGUGGCGAAGGCGGCCCCCUGGACAAAGACUGACGCUCAGGUGCGAAAGCGUGGGGAGCAAACAGG